Molecule: transfer RNA, 85 nt
Filed under: Candidatus Omnitrophota bacterium
Lineage: Bacteria; Pseudomonadati; Candidatus Omnitrophota
Description: tRNA-Thr
Rfam family: tRNA
About the family: Transfer RNA (tRNA) molecules are approximately 80 nucleotides in length. Their secondary structure includes four short double-helical elements and three loops (D, anti-codon, and T loops). Further hydrogen bonds mediate the characteristic L-shaped molecular structure. tRNAs have two regions of fundamental functional importance: the anti-codon, which is responsible for specific mRNA codon recognition, and the 3' end, to which the tRNAs corresponding amino acid is attached (by aminoacyl-tRNA synthetases). tRNAs cope with the degeneracy of the genetic code in two manners: having more than one tRNA (with a specific anti-codon) for a particular amino acid; and 'wobble' base-pairing, i.e. permitting non-standard base-pairing at the 3rd anti-codon position.
Source: RNAcentral
GCUGGUAUCGCAUAGUUGGUCUAGUGCAAUGGAUCUGUAAUCCAUCGUAGAAAUACAAUCGGGAGUUCAAAUCUCUCUACCAGCU